UGGGGAAUUUUGGACAAUGGGGGAAACCCUGAUCCAGCCAUCCCGCGUGUGCGAUGAAGGCCUUCGGGUUGUAAAGCACUUUUGGCAGGAAAGAAACGUCAUGGGUUAAUACCCCGUGAAACUGACGGUACCUGCAGAAUAAGCACCGGCUAACUACGUGCCAGCAGCCGCGGUAAUACGUAGGGUGCAAGCGUUAAUCGGAAUUACUGGGCGUAAAGCGUGCGCAGGCGGUUCGGAAAGAAAGAUGUGAAAUACCAGAGCUCAACUUUGGAACUGCAUUUUUAACUACCGGGCUAGAGUGUGUCAGAGGGAGGUGGAAUUCCGCGUGUAGCAGUGAAAUGCGUAGAUAUGCGGAGGAACACCGAUGGCGAAGGCAGCCUCCUGGGAUAACACUGACGCUCAUGCACGAAAGCGUGGGGAGCAAACAGG
Molecule: ribosomal RNA, 429 nt
Filed under: Acidobacteriota bacterium
Lineage: Bacteria; Pseudomonadati; Acidobacteriota
Description: Acidobacteria bacterium partial 16S ribosomal RNA
Rfam family: Bacterial small subunit ribosomal RNA
Source: RNAcentral